UACAGAGGUCCCAAGCGUUGUUCGGAUUCACUGGGCGUAAAGGGUGCGUAGGCGGUCGGGUAAGUCUGACGUGAAAUCUCCAAGCUCAACUUGGAAAUGGCGUCGGAUACUAUUCGGCUGGAGGAAUGGAGGGGAGACUGGAAUUCUCGGUGUAGCAGUGAAAUGCGUAGAUAUCGAGAGGAACACCAGUGGCGAAGGCGAGUCUCUGGACAUUUCCUGACGCUGAGGCACGAAAGCCAGGGGAGCAAACGGGG
This 254-nucleotide ribosomal RNA is filed under the name uncultured bacterium. Its description in RNAcentral is "partial 16S ribosomal RNA". It matches the Rfam family "Bacterial small subunit ribosomal RNA", at positions 524 to 777 of the family's 1533-position model. The record is from RNAcentral.